RNAcentral lists this unclassified non-coding RNA (548 nucleotides) under secondary endosymbiont of Glycaspis brimblecombei. RNAcentral's name for it is "16S-23S ribosomal RNA intergenic spacer". The stretch from base 88 to 160 matches the Rfam family "tRNA". Lineage: Bacteria; Pseudomonadati; Pseudomonadota; Gammaproteobacteria; Enterobacterales; Enterobacteriaceae. The record is from RNAcentral.
CCUAGAUAGAUGGAAUGUGAGUGUUCACACAGAUUGUCUGAUGAAAUAGCGCGUCAAGCCAAUCUAAGAUUGACUAAAGAGCUUGAAGUCCCCUUCGUCUAGAGGCCUAGGACAUCGCCCUUUCACGGCGGUAACAGGGGUUCGAAUCCCCUAGGGGACGCCACUUUAGUGAUUUAGAAAGGCGGUGCAUCACGCUUUUAGUGUUGUGCACUGUUUGUGCUUUACGUAAUAAUGAUUAAACCAAUUUAGUGAGUUGGUUUACCAAUAAUGCUCUUUAACAAUCUGGAACAAGCUGAAAAUUGAAACACACAUGAAACACACAUUAUUGAAAAAAUAAUGUGGAGAACUCUCAAACUCCAAUUUGAAGUGUUAUUCAAAUAGGCAGACGAGUGGCAUGAGCGAGCAGGGUGAAAUUUGCGGCGUAGGCGCGCAGUCAGCGCAGCGUACAUAAGUACGUGAGCAUGACGAGCGCCGCACAACAAAAAAUUUCGCACGGCGCAGCCAUGACGCUUCUGUAUUAUUUGAUAAGAGACACCUUCGGGUUGUGA